UAGACAUGUUCGCUCAUAGAUAAGAAACACACACAUAUAAUAAAAAAAAAAAAAAAAAAAAAAAAAUUUACAACACGCAUCAAUACAACAUUUGUAAAUAUGCAGAAAAACGAGCAUGCACGUAAACACGGGAAUAAUAGUAUGGCAAUACGUGAACACAAAAAAGAUAAUAGGAAUAUUAAAAUAAAUAAUUCUACAUCGAGUAAAUAUAUUGUAGAUUUAAAAACAUAUUUAUAUAACUUAUGCAUCAAUUUUUCUUACAGUGACAUAUAUAAUGAAUAUAUAAAUAGACUAAGUUUAUGCUCAUACAAUAAUUGUGAUUAUGAUCAGAUAAAAAAUAAUUAUUCGAUUUCUAAACAUGAUUUGUUAAAAUAUUAUAAUUUUGCAUUUUAUGAUAAUGAUUUUGAUUUAUUCUCUAAUGAAAAUGAUGAUGAUGAUGAUGAUGUUUUCUGGAAUUACCAAGAUUGUGCUAGUGACACAGAAGAGGUAACAAAUUAUGUUAUAAAUAAGUAUAUUACAAAUGAACAUAAAAAAAUUGUUAAUAGGCGAAAGGCCAACGAAGAAGUUACUAAUAAUGAAAAAACUAAUGAAAAAACUACUAACAAACUUACUAUUGACAAACCGGAUGAAAUAUUGACGGAAAAAAAAAGUAAUUUUGAUAAUGAUCAUAUAAGGAAAUCAAACAAAAAUAACACUAAUGUUAUUUAUUUUUGCUCAAAAAUAAAGACACAUAAAUUUCUAACCACAACAAAUAAAAACGAGGUAGUGGACAACCUUACUAGUAACAAAAAAAAUAACCAAACAGUGUUAAAAAAUAACGUAAAUAACAAAAAGAAUUUUUUUAAAAAAAUAAUAAAAAAAACGGUUACUUUGUUUAUUAAUUUAAUAAAGAUUCAAACGAAAUAUACUUUAACUCCUAAUUUUAAUUCAUAUUUUUUAAAUCGUGAAGACAUAAACAAAAAAAAAAUAUUAAAUUCACAAAACGAACAUUACUUUAAUAUGUUAAAUAAUUUAGCAGAAAUUCAAAACGAUCAAGUUGUUGAAA
This 1045-nucleotide long non-coding RNA is filed under the name Piliocolobus tephrosceles (Ugandan red Colobus). RNAcentral's name for it is "lncRNA (ENSPTEG00000001275.1)". Lineage: Eukaryota; Metazoa; Chordata; Mammalia; Primates; Cercopithecidae. The record is from RNAcentral.